AGGGUUCACACAAUGAAGCAAUGAGAAGCUCUCUCCACAGCAGGUGCUGUUUAAAGCAAGGGUUAAUCUACUCUUCUGGCCUCAGAUGAACCCAGUUUCAGAGCACCCUCAUGCCCCAGCUGUUCUUGUCCACCCUAGUAAACAUUACCCUGCUUCGGAUCUGCCAGCAUAGCCAUAGGUUGGAGGUGCUCCCUAACCCAAUUCUGUCACAGUAAUCUGGGUCAGCCUCAACACUUCACGCAGUACAUUUAUUUUUGUAACUCAUCACUUCAACAGUUGGGUUAAAGAACCCCUUCAUGUGCAAUUAUGCUGACAAAACUGAGAGGUAGUAAGUGCCGGAGGGGAGCUAAGCAGAGUACCAUAGAUGUGCUGGUAGCCAGGCAGCAGGCUGACCAUUCCAUGGAGCACACAGUGAACAAACGUGGGAACAGACCCAAGCACAUUUUAUUGUCAUCUUCUAGCAACAGGCACAUCCUGGUGGUCCUGAAGGCCUGCAGGUGUUCGUGGUGCAAAAACUGGACACAGGAUGCUGAAUCCCAGAUGUGUGAGGUUUUGCAGAAACCACCACCUGUGCCCAGCCACAUAAAUCCACACAGUUACAGAGAUGAAGGAAGCUGCAUGGUGAACGUCUGCAAUGGGAGGUGCUGCUUCAGAGGAAGAAUUUGCUCACGCAGAGGAAAGCUUCAUGUGAAUUAACUCACAUGCGAAUGGAAAGUGGAUUAGCAAUGCCACAUAAAUGGAUGGAUCCCUUGGAUUCUUCUCUUCAGAAUUAAACCGGUCCUAAUUUGUUUCAGUGUAAUUAUGAAAGAGGAUGUUAUACAGGCUUUAAUGAGAUCUAAUGUUCUCACCACAAAAGUUAGCCUGGGUUUAUUUCUUGUGUCUCCCAGCAGGGGUGGGAUUGGAAUGUAGCGCUGAAUUUUUUUAGUAGGGUACUUGUAUUGUCUUUUCUGCGGGUUUUAAUUACAGAUUCUGAUAAUGAUAUAAUCUGGUUCUAUUGUGAUUAUACUAUUUUUAAUCACAGGAUAUAAAAGCUCUGAAUAAGCAAUUAAUUAAUCUUCACCAUGUCCCUGCAAGGUUGGUAAAAGCUUUGUAAUAGUCAGUGUGUGGGUCUUCCAGUGGAAUACAGCGAGGCAAAGCAGUGCAAUGAGACAUGGGAGGGAAGAUGAGUAUCAAACCUUACUGAAUACAUGGGUGGAGUUAAGCAAGAAAAAGAUGUUACUGACCAGUUUAGAACGUGUUUGCACCACCACGAUGCACUCAGAAGGACAUGUCAGGUGAGCUCCAGCAAUCUGGGCGUCCACUUUCUGCCUGACCCAACCCACCGCACUCAUCGCGGCACUGCACACAAUGCGCCAUGGUGGGAGCAGCUAAUAGCAGGGUGUGCAUGUUGUGGAUUAGAAGUAAUUUAUCUGAUUUCCUUUUAUUUUGAAAUGGGAUUUACCCAUUUAAAUUAGAUUUUGUUUAAGGGAAAAAAAAAGGGAAGAGGAAGAAAAAACGCUGAGCUCUCGACUGCUGUUUGCAGGCUGACUGCGUGUUGACAGAUUGCUCUGCUGGUGUUGCAGUCCCUUCUCUGUCGGUGCAGCUUCUUUCUUUUCCUCCAUGGACAGUUUAUUUUCUGCUCAAUGCUAAGCCUCAUGUUUGUCUUACUUCUUUAAAUGAGAGCAAGCACUGCGCUUUUGUUCUGCUCCUUUUCCAG
Molecule: long non-coding RNA, 1696 nt
Filed under: Coturnix japonica (Japanese quail)
Lineage: Eukaryota; Metazoa; Chordata; Aves; Galliformes; Phasianidae
Description: lncRNA (ENSCJPG00005004417.1)
Source: RNAcentral